ACAACAACAAUGUUAUUUUUAAAUAAAGAAAUCAUUGUCAUAGAUGAAUUCAAUCAAACAUCAUCGCUCUUUUUACUUGUCUCGGUACCACGGUCGUUUUCUUUUGUUCUUAGGAAUUAAUCGCUGCCCAUCGAACAUUUCAGCAACCUAGAGACAUCAAAUCAAAGAACCUGAAUUGCUCUAUAUCGUUGCCGGAGAAGAAAAAGCUCUUCGUCGUACUUUUUGGCGCCCAACGUGGGGCAAGUGAUUAAUCUAAAAUUGUCGUUCUCAGUCCGUGGAAUAUUCUAAAAUUGUCGUUGAAGUACAAAUUAAAAUAAAAGUGUACGGUCGUAUUGUGAAGUGGAAAUUGUGGUUCUAUGAUAAAAGCAAUAUCUAGUGCUACAGAAAUAAAAAAUUUGUGGUUCAAAUAAAAAACUUUUGUGCAACAAAAAUAAAAUUAAACAUUAAAAAAACUGUGAGAAAACAUAUAAAAUCAGGAGACAUAUAUAAAAAACUGUUGAACAAAUUUUUGGUGACGUACCUAUUACAAAUCUAUUUUUAAAAAACCUAUUACAAACAUUAUAGAAAUUAUUCGUUUUAUCGGCUAAAUAGAAACAGUUUUUACUGAAAAAUAAUUAAAUACAUAGUGUGUCUAAAAUUUUAACGCUAAUUUUUAUAUACAAAAAUAGAAAAAUAUAUUCGGUUCCAGUACAUAAGUAAUAUAAACGUUUCUUUACACCAAAUUUUUUGUCGUUCUCAAGAUUGCGGUACAUAUGUAUAUAAAGUUAAUACAUAAAAGCGUGUAUAUAAAAAUUUUAGCGUAAAAUUUUUGGCGUUGGUUACAGUGCUCUACGAUACAUUGUGUCAUCCAUUUUGUAAAAUAUUUUUGAACCUUUUUGGCUGACUUAACCUUAAUUUUAAAAAAUGUAUGAUGGCUGAUGAGGUUAAGUAGCAACGGGAUAACACUAAGAAGAGCAUUAUCCGCAUCAAGAACCAAAUCGAAGCCAAUGGAAGAGGAGAAGGUUUUAUAGUCGUAUUUUAAGCAGAUACUGACGUAUCAAACCAAAAUUGAAAAAUACGAUCCCGAGGACAAUGUUAGGCCCGAAAUCGAGGAUUUGUACAUCUCAGCUAAAAUGAAUAUUCAGUCGCAGCUUGGUGAAGAUGUUCAUAAUUCAACACUGUCUGAGUCCACCAUUUGUUUCCCAGCCACAAAUUGGCACAGCUGAAAUUGCCCACAUUUAGUGGGCACCAGGCGGAUUGUGGGAGGCGGUGUCAAAUCGGCCAAAUCGCAACAGCUAUGAUUGAGAUGACUUUGAAGCUCUUACACCAGGCCACUUCUUGAUAGGUGCUCCCCUCCGUAGUUUGCCAGAACGUGAUUUCCCUACAAAGGAGAUUAACAAACUUGAAUAUUGGAAUGAUGGCGCAAGCAACAAUUCUGAAAGAAGUGGUCCCAUUUUACUGGUCCAAGUGGACUCGCAACAAAUGGUCCCAGUGGACUCACAACAAAUAGACUAGAUCCAACUCUAAUAUUGCUAAUGGUUCCCUAGUAAUCAUCAAAGAAGAUAAUUUAACCCCGCAGCAUUGGCUCAUGGGUAAAAUCAUCAACAUUGUUAGUGGAAGAGAUGAUCGUGUUUGAGUUGUUGACAUCAAAACUACAAAAGGAGUUAUACGUCGCCCUAUCCAUAGACUGGCUCUUCUAUCUUCUUGAAAGUGUCCUUUCAAUGGGGCCGGAAUGUUAGGUCACCGUAUAAUAACUAAUAACAUUAUUAUUUUGUUUCGUUUAAGUUUUCCAUUUUUUAUUGUAUUUAAAUUUAUUCAUAAUUUUGGCUCACUGUUGCCACUGUAAUUUGUCAUUUUUUUAGCUCAUACUAACCACUGUUGCACUAAGUAUAUCGUUGCCGGUGAAGAAAAAGCUCUUCAUCUUACACACUUAAAAGCAAAAAUUAUAAAGAAAACACAUUUUUUAGAUAUGUAUCUACUGCAAUUUUUUUAACUCUUAAAUUAAAAAAAUUAAG
This 1994-nucleotide unclassified non-coding RNA is filed under the name Lucilia cuprina (Australian sheep blowfly). RNAcentral describes it as "uncharacterized LOC124419839, transcript variant X1". Lineage: Eukaryota; Metazoa; Arthropoda; Insecta; Diptera; Calliphoridae. The record is from RNAcentral.